Lojkania enalia is the source of this 82-nucleotide non-coding RNA. Lineage: Eukaryota; Fungi; Ascomycota; Dothideomycetes; Pleosporales. The record is from the annotation of a GenBank genome assembly.
GCAUCGGUGGUUUAGUGGUAAAAUUAACCGUUGCCAUUCUUUGACAGUCGGUUAGCCCCGAGUUCGAUUCUCGGCCGAUGCA